Molecule: ribosomal RNA, 433 nt
Filed under: uncultured bacterium
Lineage: Bacteria
Description: partial 16S ribosomal RNA
Rfam family: Bacterial small subunit ribosomal RNA
Source: RNAcentral
AACGAACGCUGGCGGCAUGCCUAACACAUGCAAGUCGAACGAGAGCUUCGGGUCUAGUGGCGCACGCGUGCGUAACGCGGGGGAACCUGCCCUUAGGUUCGGAAUAACACCCCGAAAGGGGGGCUAAUACCGGGUAAUGUAUGCGGACAAAAGAUUUAUCGCCUUUGUAUGGGCCCGCGUUGGAUUAGCUAGUUGGUAGGGUAAAAGCCUAUCAAGGAGACGAUCCAUAGCGGGGCUGAGAGGAUGAGAAGCCACACUGGGAGUGAGCCACGGCCCAGACUACUACGGGAGGCAGCAGUGGGGGAUAUUGGAAAAUCGGCGAAGGCCUGAUGCACCUAUGCCGGGUGAGUGAUGAAGGUCUUAGGGUUGUAAAGCUCUUUUACCCGGGAUGAUAAUGACGGUACCGGGAGAAUAAGCUCCGGCUAACUUCGUG